This 427-nucleotide ribosomal RNA is filed under the name uncultured bacterium. Its description in RNAcentral is "partial 16S ribosomal RNA". It matches the Rfam family "Bacterial small subunit ribosomal RNA", at positions 355 to 774 of the family's 1533-position model. The record is from RNAcentral.
UGGGGAAUAUUGCACAAUGGGCGCAAGCCUGAUGCAGCCAUGCCGCGUGUGUGAAGAAGGCCUUCGGGUUGUAAAGCACUUUCAGCGAGGAGGAAGGGUAGUGUGUUAAUAGCACAUUGCAUUGACGUUACUCGCAGAAGAAGCACCGGCUAACUCCGUGCCAGCAGCCGCGGUAGUACGGAGGGGGCAAGCGGUAAUCGGAAUUACUGGGCGUAAAGCGCGCGCAGGCGGUUUGUUAAGUCAGAUGUGAAAUCCCCGCGCUUAACGUGGGAACUGCAUUUGAAACUGGCAAGCUAGAGUCUUGUAGAGGGGGGUAGAAUUCCAGGUGUAGCGGUGAAAUGCGUAGAGAUCUGGAGGAAUACCGGUGGCGAAGGCGGCCCCCUGGACAAAGACUGACGCUCAGGUGCGAAAGCGUGGGGAGCAAACA